This 484-nucleotide ribosomal RNA is filed under the name uncultured bacterium. RNAcentral's name for it is "partial 16S ribosomal RNA". It matches the Rfam family "Bacterial small subunit ribosomal RNA", at positions 30 to 507 of the family's 1533-position model. The record is from RNAcentral.
AUUGAACGCUGGCGGCAGGCCUAACACAUGCAAGUCGAGCGGAUGAAGGGAGCUUGCUCCUGGAUUCAGCGGCGGACGGGUGAGUAAUGCCUAGGAAUCUGCCUGGUAGUGGGGGAUAACGUCCGGAAACGGGCGCUAAUACCGCAUACGUCCUGAGGGAGAAAGUGGGGGAUCUUCGGACCUCACGCUAUCAGAUGAGCCUAGGUCGGAUUAGCUAGUUGGUGGGGUAAAGGCCUACCAAGGCGACGAUCCGUAACUGGCCUGAGAGGAUGAUCAGUCACUCUGGAACUGAGACACGGUCCAGACUCCUACGGGAGGCAGCAGUGGGGAAUAUUGGACAAUGGGCGAAAGCCUGAUCCAGCCAUGCCGCGUGUGUGAAGAAGGUCUUCGGAUUGUAAAGCACUUUAAGUUGGGAGGAAGGGCAGUAAGUUAAUACCUUGCUGUUUUGACGUUACCAACAGAAUAAGCACCGGCUAACUUCGUG